RNAcentral lists this unclassified non-coding RNA (332 nucleotides) under soil metagenome. RNAcentral's name for it is "partial contains 5.8S ribosomal RNA, internal transcribed spacer 2, and large subunit ribosomal RNA". The stretch from base 1 to 120 matches the Rfam family "5.8S ribosomal RNA", at positions 35 to 154 of the family's 154-position model. The record is from RNAcentral.
GAUGAAGAACGUAGCAAAAUGCGAUAAGUAAUGUGAAUUGCAGAAUUCAGUGAAUCAUCGAAUCUUUGAACGCACAUUGCGCCCGCCAGUAUUCUGGCGGGCAUGCCUGUUCGAGCGUCAUUUCAACCCUCAAGCACAGCUUGGUGUUGGGACUCGCGUUAAUUCGCGUUCCCCAAAUUGAUUGGCGGUCACGUCGAGCUUCCAUAGCGUAGUAGUAAAACCCUCGUUACUGGUAAUCGUCGCGGCCACGCCGUUAAACCCCAACUUCUGAAUGUUGACCUCGGAUCAGGUAGGAAUACCCGCUGAACUUAAGCAUAUCAAUAAGCGGGGGA